This 231-nucleotide ribosomal RNA is filed under the name uncultured Staphylococcus sp. RNAcentral's name for it is "partial 16S ribosomal RNA". It matches the Rfam family "Bacterial small subunit ribosomal RNA", at positions 109 to 334 of the family's 1533-position model. The record is from RNAcentral. Lineage: Bacteria; Bacillati; Bacillota; Bacilli; Caryophanales; Staphylococcaceae.
AGUAACACGUGGAUAACCUACCUAUAAGACUGGGAUAACUUCGGGAAACCGGAGCUAAUACCGGAUAAUAUAUUGAACCGCAUGGUUCAAUAGUGAAAGACGGUUUUGCUGUCACUUAUAGAUGGAUCCGCGCCGCAUUAGCUAGUUGGUAAGGUAACGGCUUACCAAGGCGACGAUGCGUAGCAGACCUGAGAGGGUGAUCGGCCACACUGGAACUGAGACACGGUCCAG